Molecule: ribosomal RNA, 253 nt
Filed under: uncultured bacterium
Lineage: Bacteria
Description: partial 16S ribosomal RNA
Rfam family: Bacterial small subunit ribosomal RNA
Source: RNAcentral
UACAGAGGUCUCAAGCGUUGUUCGGAAUUACUGGGCGUAAAGGGCUCGUAGGCGGCCAACUAAGUCAGACGUGAAAUCCCUCGGCUUAACCGGGGAACUGCGUCUGAUACUGGAUGGCUUGAAUCCGGGAGAGGGAUGCGGAAUUCCAGGUGUAGCGGUGAAAUGCGUAGAUAUCUGGAGGAACACCGGUGGCGAAGGCGGCAUCCUGGACCGGCAUUGACGCUGAGGAGCGAAAGCCAGGGGAGCAAACGGG